CAGUCGCCGCGGUAAUACGUAGGUGGCAAGCGUUGUCCGGAAUUAUUGGGCGUAAAGGGCUCGCAGGCGGUUUCUUAAGUCUGGUGUGAAGGCCCCCGGCUCAACCGGGGAGGGUCAUUGGAAACUGGGAAACUUGAGUGCAGAAGAGGAGAGUGGAAUUCCACGUGUAGCGGUGAAAUGCGUAGAGAUGUGGAGGAACACCAGUGGCGAAGGCGACUCUCUGGUCUGUAACUGACGCUGAGGAGCGAAAGCGUGGGGAGCGAACAGGAUUAGAGACCCCAGUAGUCCCUGUCUCUUAUAC
RNAcentral lists this ribosomal RNA (301 nucleotides) under uncultured bacterium. Its description in RNAcentral is "partial 16S ribosomal RNA". It matches the Rfam family "Bacterial small subunit ribosomal RNA", at positions 509 to 807 of the family's 1533-position model. The record is from RNAcentral.